This 450-nucleotide ribosomal RNA is filed under the name uncultured bacterium. Its description in RNAcentral is "bacterial SSU rRNA". It matches the Rfam family "Bacterial small subunit ribosomal RNA", at positions 29 to 523 of the family's 1533-position model. The record is from RNAcentral.
AACGAACGCUGGCGGCAGGCCUAACACAUGCAAGUCGAACGAGAUCUUCGGAUCUAGUGGCGGACGGGUGAGUAACGCGUGGGAACGUGCCCUUCUCUACGGAAUAGUCCUGGGAAACUGGGUUUAAUACCGUAUACGCCCUUCGGGGGAAAGAAUUUCGGGGAAGGAUCGGCCCGCGUUGGAUUAGGUAGUUGGUGGGGUAAUGGCCUACCAAGCCGACGAUCCAUAGCUGGUUUGAGAGGAUGAUCAGCCACACUGGGACUGAGACACGGCCCAGACUCCUACGGGAGGCAGCAGUGGGGAAUUUUCCGCAAUGGGGGCAACCCUGACGGAGCAACGCCGCGUGAGGGAAGAAUGGUUGUGGCCAGUAAACCUCUUUUUAAUAGGGAAGAAUUCUGACGGUACCUAUUGAAUAAGCAUCGGCUAACUCCGUGCCAGCAGCCGCGGUAA